Hordeum vulgare subsp. vulgare (domesticated barley) is the source of this 124-nucleotide non-coding RNA. Lineage: Eukaryota; Viridiplantae; Streptophyta; Magnoliopsida; Poales; Poaceae. The record is from Rfam.
AUAAUACUCCCUCCGUCCGGAAAUACUUGUCUUAAGAAUGGAUGAAUCUAGACUUAUUUUAGUUAUAGAUACAUUCAUUAUAUCCAUUUUCAGGACAAGUAUUUCCGGGCGGAGGGGGUAGAUA